Molecule: ribosomal RNA, 330 nt
Filed under: uncultured fungus
Lineage: Eukaryota; Fungi
Description: partial small subunit ribosomal RNA
Rfam family: Eukaryotic small subunit ribosomal RNA
Source: RNAcentral
GCUUGUCUCAAAGAUUAAGCCAUGCAUGUCUAAGUAUAAACGACUUUAUACUGUGAAACUGCGAAUGGCUCAUUAUAUCAGUUAUAGUUUAUUUGAUGGUCCUUGCUACUUGGAUAACCGUAGUAAUUCUAGAGCUAAUACAUGCAUCAAACCCCGACUUCUGGAAGGGGUGUAUUUAUUAGAUGGAAACCAAUGCAGGGCAACCUGGAAUAUGGUGAUUCAUAAUAACUUUUCGAACCUCAUGCCUUUAUGGUGGAGGUGAUUCAUUCAAAUUUCUGCCCUAUCAGCUUUUGAUGGUAGGGUAUUGGCCUACCAUGGCGUUAACGGGUA